GCCCACGUUGGAGCCACGAAGGUCGGCCAUCGCUGCGGAGGUCUCCCUGUCGCCGCCGCCCGCAUUGGAGCCGCCGAGGUCGCCUCGUCGACGCGGCCCGCACUAGACCCGAUGAGGUCGACGCUGGAUCCGCUGCCGCCAGGGAGAGGGGAGAGAGAUGGGGACGGCGGAGGAGGAGUGGGACGCGGGAGCAACCAUCGCCUGAGAGAGGAGUUUGCCGAAGAUGGUAGGUAGGUGGUGCUGUGGUGGGGACUGAGCAGGUGGGGGCU
This 269-nucleotide long non-coding RNA is filed under the name Oryza brachyantha (malo sina). Its description in RNAcentral is "long non-coding RNA (OBRA_LNC001257)". The record is from RNAcentral. Lineage: Eukaryota; Viridiplantae; Streptophyta; Magnoliopsida; Poales; Poaceae.